GGAUGCGAUCAUACCAGCACUAAAGCACCGGAUCCCAUCAGAACUCCGAAGUAAAGCAUGCUUGGGCGAGAGUACUACUAGGAUGGGUGACCUCCUGGGAAGUCCUCGUGUUGCAUUCC
RNAcentral lists this ribosomal RNA (119 nucleotides) under Hordeum vulgare subsp. vulgare (domesticated barley). Lineage: Eukaryota; Viridiplantae; Streptophyta; Magnoliopsida; Poales; Poaceae. The record is from RNAcentral.